This 679-nucleotide ribosomal RNA is filed under the name Sphingobacterium faecium. Its description in RNAcentral is "bacterial SSU rRNA". It matches the Rfam family "Bacterial small subunit ribosomal RNA", at positions 107 to 784 of the family's 1533-position model. The record is from RNAcentral. Lineage: Bacteria; Pseudomonadati; Bacteroidota; Sphingobacteriia; Sphingobacteriales; Sphingobacteriaceae.
UGCGUAACGCGUGAGCAACCUACCCAUAUCAGGGGGAUAGCCUCUCGAAAGAGAGAUUAACACCGCAUAACAUCAUUAACCGGCAUCGGAUUAUGAUCAAAUAUUUAUAGGAUAUGGAUGGGCUCGCGUGACAUUAGCUAGUUGGAGAGGUAACGGCUCACCAAGGCUACGAUGUCUAGGGGCUCUGAGAGGAGAAUCCCCCACACUGGUACUGAGACACGGACCAGACUCCUACGGGAGGCAGCAGUAAGGAAUAUUGGUCAAUGGAGGCAACUCUGAACCAGCCAUGCCGCGUGCAGGAUGACUGCCCUAUGGGUUGUAAACUGCUUUUGUCAGGGAAUAAACCUUUCUACGUGUAGGAAGCUGAAUGUACCUGAAGAAUAAGGAUCGGCUAACUCCGUGCCAGCAGCCGCGGUAAUACGGAGGAUCCAAGCGUUAUCCGGAUUUAUUGGGUUUAAAGGGUGCGUAGGCGGUCCUAUAAGUCAGUGGUGAAAGACGGCAGCUUAACUGUCGCAGUGCCUUUGAUACUGUAGGACUUGAAUCUAUUUGAAGUGGGCGGAAUAAGACAAGUAGCGGUGAAAUGCAUAGAUAUGUCUUAGAACUCCGAUUGCGAAGGCAGCUCACUAAGUUAGUAUUGACGCUGAUGCACGAAAGCGUGGGGAUCAAACAGGAUUAGAUA